Non-coding RNA from Pelobates cultripes (western spadefoot toad), 291 nucleotides. NCBI's taxonomy places the organism in Eukaryota, Metazoa, Chordata, Amphibia, Anura, Pelobatidae. The record is from the annotation of a GenBank genome assembly.
CAAAUCCACUCAGUACUUUCAUAUGUUCAACUGCUCUUACUGAAAUAAUUUUUCUUCAAGGGAUAAUACCAAUCUAUUAAUGGUUAAUAACAAAUGAAUGCAUUGUAGUGUCAUUUCUGUUUCUGAUAGGUGCCAGUGUGCAUAAAAGUAUGUAUUUGACUAUUGUGUUAUUUGACUGAAGUCAAUGAGGUUGGGUUGAUCCACUUGUGUAGACUGAAGUGUCAAAAGCCAUUUAAAGAUAAAAUGAUGUUGUGAAGCAACAGAGAACAUAUCCGAUAAGGAAGAAACAGG